CCUACGGGUGGCUGCAGUGGGGAAUAUUGCACAAUGGGGGAAACCCUGAUGCAGCGAAGCCGCGUGAGUGAAGAAGUAUUUCGGUGCAUAAAGCUCUAUCAGCAGGGAAGAAAAACCGGCCUUAGGGCCGCCAGACGGUACCUUACUAAAAAGCCCCGGCUAACUACGUGCCAGCAGCCGCGGUAAUACGUAGGGGGCAAGCGUUAUCCGGAUUUACUGGGGGUAAAGGGGGCGUAGACGGCGGCGCAAGUCUGGAGUGAAAUGCCGGGGCCCAACCCCGGAACUGCUUUGGAAACUGGGCAGCUUGAGUGCAGGAGAGGUAAGCGGAAUUCCUGGUGUAGCGGUGAAAUGCGUAGAUAUUAGGAGGAACACCAGUGGCGAAGGCGGCUUACUGGACUGUAACUGACGUUGAGGCUCGAAAGCGUGGGGAGCAAACAGGAUUAGAUACCCCGGUAGUC
RNAcentral lists this ribosomal RNA (458 nucleotides) under uncultured bacterium. RNAcentral's name for it is "partial 16S ribosomal RNA". It matches the Rfam family "Bacterial small subunit ribosomal RNA", at positions 338 to 795 of the family's 1533-position model. The record is from RNAcentral.